GGUGAUUAGCUCAGCUGGGAGAGCAUCUGCCUUACAAGCAGAGGGUCGGCGGUUCGAUCCCGUCAUCACCCACCAA
Molecule: transfer RNA, 76 nt
Filed under: Pseudomonas aeruginosa
Lineage: Bacteria; Pseudomonadati; Pseudomonadota; Gammaproteobacteria; Pseudomonadales; Pseudomonadaceae
Also listed under: 2 other names
Description: partial Val tRNA
Rfam family: tRNA
About the family: Transfer RNA (tRNA) molecules are approximately 80 nucleotides in length. Their secondary structure includes four short double-helical elements and three loops (D, anti-codon, and T loops). Further hydrogen bonds mediate the characteristic L-shaped molecular structure. tRNAs have two regions of fundamental functional importance: the anti-codon, which is responsible for specific mRNA codon recognition, and the 3' end, to which the tRNAs corresponding amino acid is attached (by aminoacyl-tRNA synthetases). tRNAs cope with the degeneracy of the genetic code in two manners: having more than one tRNA (with a specific anti-codon) for a particular amino acid; and 'wobble' base-pairing, i.e. permitting non-standard base-pairing at the 3rd anti-codon position.
Source: RNAcentral